Molecule: ribosomal RNA, 253 nt
Filed under: uncultured bacterium
Lineage: Bacteria
Description: partial 16S ribosomal RNA
Rfam family: Bacterial small subunit ribosomal RNA
Source: RNAcentral
UACGGAGGGUGCAAGCGUUAUCCGGAUUUACUGGGCUUAAAGGGUGCGUAGGUGGAUUGGUGAGUCAGUGGUGAAAUACUUUCGCUUAACGAAGGAACUGCCAUUGAUACUACCAGUCUUGAAUACAGUGGAGGUGGGCGGAAUGCGUCAUGUAGCGGUGAAAUGCUUAGAUAUGACGCAGAACACCAAUUGCGAAGGCAGCUUGCUACACUGUUAUUGACACUGAGGCACGAAAGCGUGGGGAUCAAACAGG